RNAcentral lists this unclassified non-coding RNA (240 nucleotides) under soil metagenome. RNAcentral describes it as "partial contains 5.8S ribosomal RNA, internal transcribed spacer 2, and large subunit ribosomal RNA". The record is from RNAcentral.
AAGACUAUAGACCUGCGGAGUACCUGCGGAGGGAUCAUUAUCGUAUUGUAACAAUUGGGGGGGCCACCGUGGGCUGUCGCUGACCCUUUGAAAGGGGGGUCGUGCACGCCCCCAUAGUGUCAUCCUCAUACAAUCCAACUCACCUCUGUGCAUCACCGCGUGGGUUCCUUUCUGGGUCGAGUCAGACUGGCUCAGAAAAAAAGGGGCUUGCGUUUUCCAUACAAAUACCCUUAUAAAUCC